UCCAGACUCCUACGGGAGGCAGCAGUGAGGAAUAUUGGUCAAUGGGCGCAGGCCUGAACCAGCCAAGUCGCGUGAGGGAAGACUGCCCUAUGGGUUGUAAACCUCUUUUAUAAGGGAAGAAUAAUGACUACGUGUAGUCAGAUGCCCGUACCUUAUGAAUAAGCAUCGGCUAACUCCGUGCCAGCAGCCGCGGUAAUACGGAGGAUGCGAGCGUUAUCCGGAUUUAUUGGGUUUAAAGGGUGCGCAGGCGGCACGGCAAGCCGGCGGUCAAAUCGCGGGGCUCAACCCCGCCCAGCCGUCGGAACUGCCGGGCUAGAGUGGGCGAGAAGUGCGCGGAAUGCGUGGUGUAGCGGUGAAAUGCAUAGAUAUCAGGAGGAACACCGGUGGCGAAGGCGGCCUGCUGGACUGCGACUGACGUUGAGGCCCGAAAGCGUGGGGAGCAAACAGGAUUAGAUACCCUCGUA
This 464-nucleotide ribosomal RNA is filed under the name uncultured bacterium. RNAcentral describes it as "partial 16S ribosomal RNA". It matches the Rfam family "Bacterial small subunit ribosomal RNA", at positions 330 to 792 of the family's 1533-position model. The record is from RNAcentral.